UUAUUGUCUGAUUCAUCCUCUUCAAUGAUAGGCACAUCCCUUGUUCUAAUUCUUUCACGUAAAGAAUUAAAUUCAAAAUGUUGUGUCCCAAACAAUAUACUGUCAAACUUAACAUAGAUUGUAUAGUAAUCCUCACCUCCCUUGAAUGAACAACUUACUAAAAAUACAAAUAGUAAUGUUAAAAAUCUUUAUAUAUAUAGACAGUGAAUAUACAAUAAUUACCAGUAAGUAAAUGAUUUUACAAUAUAUUAUUUUGAAACAUCCUGUGCGUUAAAGAGAAUUAAAAAUAUUUCGAGUACUAAUUUUUAAAUUUAACAACAAAAUUAUAUUGCUGUUCAAAUAUGUGAAUAAGUUGUAAUAAACGUUUAAAAAUAAUACAAAGAAAAUAUACUAGGGAGAGUUGAGUAUAUUGGAAGGGAACCAUAACAAAAAAAAAAUUAAUCUGAGUGAGGUUCGGUUAGGUUAGGUUAGGUUAGGUUUUCAAAUACAGCCUUUUUAAAUUUUUCGCCAACAUUUUAUCCUACAACGCUCAAAUAUUAAUUUCAUAAAUUACAUUAGGUCCGAAUAAUNAUAAACGUUUAAAAAUAAUAUAAAUAAAAGAUACUAGGGAGGUAGAGUAUAUUGGAAGGGAACAUUAACAAAAAAAAAAUUUAUCUGAGUGAGGUUCGGUUAGGUUAGGUUAGGUUAGGUUUUAAAAUACAGCCUUUUUAAAUUUUUCGCCAACAUUUUAUCCUAAAACGCUCAAAUAUUAAUUACAUAAAUUACAUUAGGUCCGAAUAAUUAUAACCAUUAUGUUAUACCUUACUGAUUAAGUAUAUUAAUAUUACUUAUCCGGAAGUCACCGUUUACGUAUAAAAUUAAUCGGUUUGGUUUUUUUUUUUAAUACGUUUUGUGUUUCAGGACUACUAAUAAUAACCGACUUUAAGACAUACAAGCACUUGAGCAUUAUUUCAUAAACAG
This is a non-coding RNA of Cinara cedri, 960 nucleotides long. NCBI's taxonomy places the organism in Eukaryota, Metazoa, Arthropoda, Insecta, Hemiptera, Aphididae. The record is from the annotation of a GenBank genome assembly.